Oryza sativa Japonica Group (Japanese rice) is the source of this 576-nucleotide non-coding RNA. NCBI's taxonomy places the organism in Eukaryota, Viridiplantae, Streptophyta, Magnoliopsida, Poales, Poaceae. The record is from RefSeq and is a predicted model, not a curated record.
UUCAUUGCCAGCAGCGGCGGGAGGACGGGGUGAGCGGCGGCGGCUGGCGGCAUCGGGGCGCAGCGCAGUCGGCGGCUAGGACGGCGGCGGCUCGGCCGCGGAGGCUCGCGAUAGUGGGAGGACGAGGGGAACGGCGGCGGCGGCGGCCCAAUAUGCUGCUCGUCAUCCUCGCCCUUGCGGUUACCGGCGCGGUCUCCGACGGCUCGCGAGUCGCUGGACCACAUCUCCAUCAACUGCAUCGGCGUCGGGGGACAUGUCCGGCUGCCGCUCCGUCCACUCGCGCCCGUUCAGCACCGAUGAGGAGGGCGAGGCUCCUCGUCCCCGCUCAGCCGCGGCUCUUCUUGGAUAGUCCCGACUGGAGGCAGUCGGCGGCGGGGAGGGAGUGGGAACGGGAGCGGGACGAUGGCGACGAGAGAAGAGGAAGCUGGCUCGCGUCGGGAUCUUGGUGGUUCGUCGGCGAUGAUGCCGUUUAUGCAUGUAACGAACUGCUGAUGGAGAUGAAUAAAUAGAGAAGAAAACAGAGAAGCUGCGGUGACUGGUGAGACUUAAGCAGCACAAAAACCACUCUGUUCAGAA